CCUACGGGUGGCAGCAGUGAGGAAUAUUGGUCAAUGGUCGGAAGACUGAACCAGCCAAGCCGCGUGAGGGAUGAAGGUUCAGAGUAUCGUAAACUGCUUUUGUACGGGAACAAAGGCUGGUACGCGUCUCCGUAUGAGUGUAUCUUAAGAAUAAGCAUCGGCUAACUCCGUGCCAGCAGCCGCGGUAAUACGGAGGAUUCGAGCGUUAUCCGGAUUUAUUGGGUUUAAAGGGUGCGUAGGCGGUCGGUUAAGUUAGCGGUCAAAGCCCGGGGCUCAACGUCGGGACUGCCUUUGAAACUGUCCGGCUAGAGUGGAGGAGAGGUAGGCGGAAUGCGUGGUGUAGCGGUGAAAUGCUUAGAUAUCAUGCAGAACACCGAUUGCGAAGGCAGCAUGCCGGGCUAAGACUGACGUUGAGGCACGAAAGCGUGGGGAGCAAACAGGAUUAGAUACCCCAGUAGUC
This 460-nucleotide ribosomal RNA is filed under the name uncultured bacterium. Its description in RNAcentral is "partial 16S ribosomal RNA". It matches the Rfam family "Bacterial small subunit ribosomal RNA", at positions 338 to 795 of the family's 1533-position model. The record is from RNAcentral.